UAGCCUUUACCGUGUAAAGCCCCUUCGACGAGUCGAGUUGUUUGGGAAUGCAGCUCUAAAUGGGAGGUAAAUUUCUUCUAAAGCUAAAUACUGGCCAGAGACCGAUAGCGCACAAGUAGAGUGAUCGAAAGAUGAAAAGCACUUUGGAAAGAGAGUUAAAAAGCACGUGAAAUUGUUGAAAGGGAAGCGCUUGCAGCCAGACUUGCCUGUAGUUGCUCAUCCGGGUUUCUACCCGGUGCACUCUUCUAUAGGCAGGCCAGCAUCAGUUUGGGCGGUUGGAUAAAGGUCUCUGUCAUGUACCUCCUUUCGGGGAGAACUUAUAGGGGAGACGACAUGCAACCAGCCCGGACUGAGGUCCGCGCAUCUGCUAGGAUGCUGGCGUAAUGGCUGUAAGCGGCCCGUCUUGAAACACGGACCAAGGAGUCUAACAUCUAUGCGAGUGUUUGGGUGUCAAGCCCGAACGCGUAAUGAAAGUGAACGGAGGUGGGAACCUUUCGGGGUGCACCAUCGACCGAUCCUGAUGUCUUCGGAUGGAUUUGAGUAAGAGCAUAGCUGUUGGGACCCGAAAGAUGGUGAACUAUGCUUGAAUAGGGUGAAGCCAGAGGAAACUCUGGUGGAGGCUCGCAGCGGUUCUGACGUGCAAAUCGAUCGUCAAAUUUGGGCAUAGGGGCGAAAGACUAAUCGAACUAUCUAGUAGCUGGUUCCUGCCGAAGUUUCCCUCAGGAUAGCAGUAACGUUUUCAGUUUUAUGAGGUAAAGCGAAUGAUUAGAGGCCUGGGGGUUGAAACAACCUUCACCUAUUCUCAAACUUUAAAUAUGUAAGAAGUCCUUGUUACUUGAUUGAACGUGGACAGUUGAAUGUAUCGUUACUAGUGGGCCAUUUUUGGUAAGCAGAACUGGCGAUGCGGGAUGAACCGAACGCGGGGUUAAGGUGCCAGAAUGCACGCUCAUCAGACACCACAAAAGGUGUUAGUUCAUCUAGAC
This 983-nucleotide ribosomal RNA is filed under the name Ectophoma multirostrata. Its description in RNAcentral is "partial large subunit ribosomal RNA". It matches the Rfam family "Eukaryotic large subunit ribosomal RNA", at positions 233 to 1238 of the family's 3401-position model. The record is from RNAcentral. Lineage: Eukaryota; Fungi; Ascomycota; Dothideomycetes; Pleosporales; Didymellaceae.